UUUCCGUAGGUGAACCUGCGGAAGGACCAUUAUUGAGUUUUGAAACUUCAGGCUGCUGCUGGCUCUCCUCGGAGGGUAUGUGCACGCUUGUUGUCCAUUACUUCUCCCACUGUGCACAAAUUGUAGACCUUUCAGUAGGCCUAUGUUGUUUUUUACAAUCUCUGAAUGUAAUAGAAUGGUUUUGAAUCUUGGGAAAUAAAAUACAACUUUCAGCAACGGAUCUCUUGGCUCUC
Molecule: unclassified non-coding RNA, 233 nt
Filed under: plant metagenome
Description: partial contains small subunit ribosomal RNA, internal transcribed spacer 1, and 5.8S ribosomal RNA
Source: RNAcentral